This 253-nucleotide ribosomal RNA is filed under the name uncultured bacterium. RNAcentral's name for it is "partial 16S ribosomal RNA". It matches the Rfam family "Bacterial small subunit ribosomal RNA", at positions 524 to 776 of the family's 1533-position model. The record is from RNAcentral.
UACGAAGGGGGCGAGCGUUGUUCGGAAUUACUGGGCGUAAAGGGCGCGUAGGCGGUUCGGUAAGCGUGCGGUGAAAGCCCGGGGCUCAACCCCGGGUCGGCCGUGCGGACUGCCAGACUCGAGCACUGUAGAGGCGGGUGGAAUUCCGGGUGUAGCGGUGGAAUGCGUAGAGAUCCGGAAGAACACCGGUGGCGAAGGCGGCCCGCUGGGCAGUGGCUGACGCUGAUGCGCGACAGCGUGGGGAGCAAACAGG